AUUUGCCUGAGUCUGAGCUAGGCAUUCAAGGAUGUUUUCACAGUCAAUAAAAAGAGAUCCUCUGAGCCUGUGACUCUUCUCUCCCUAACGUAGGAAUCUACUGUGAGGCAGCCAGAUGAAUUCAGGUGCUCUAAGUUCAGGCAAAGCAGAUGGUAUGAGUCUGAAAAGGAGAUGGAGACAAUUUGAAGAUUCACAGUUAAUCAGUGAGAAAGGAAAUAAUCUACAUCUGAGAGCUGAUUGUGGCCCAGUCCUGCACCUUUCCCUGGCAAUGAUCCAUGCAGGUGUCAAAGGAAAUCCUACCUGUACAGAGAGAAGCACAAGGCAUGCUUAUUAUUCAGUUAGAGGAACUGUCUUUUUUUUU
RNAcentral lists this long non-coding RNA (361 nucleotides) under Anas platyrhynchos platyrhynchos (common mallard). RNAcentral describes it as "lncRNA (ENSAPLG00000027262.1)". The record is from RNAcentral. Lineage: Eukaryota; Metazoa; Chordata; Aves; Anseriformes; Anatidae.